UUUACAUGAGAGUUUGAUCCUGGCUCAGGACGAACGCUGGCGGCGUGCCUAAUACA
Molecule: ribosomal RNA, 56 nt
Filed under: Trichococcus collinsii
Lineage: Bacteria; Bacillati; Bacillota; Bacilli; Lactobacillales; Carnobacteriaceae
Description: partial 16S ribosomal RNA
Source: RNAcentral